GCGUUGCUCGGAAUGACUGGGCGUAAAGGGCGCGUAGGCGGAUCGCACAGUCGGGCGUGAAAUUCCCGGGCUCAACCCGGGGGCUGCGCUCGAUACAUGCGGUCUGGAGUUCGGAAGAGGGUCGUGGAAUUCCCAGUGUAGAGGUGAAAUGCGUAGAUAUUGGGAAGAACACCGGUGGCGAAGGCGGCGACCUGGUCCGACACUGACGCUGAGGCGCGAAAGCGUG
This 226-nucleotide ribosomal RNA is filed under the name uncultured bacterium. RNAcentral describes it as "partial 16S ribosomal RNA". It matches the Rfam family "Bacterial small subunit ribosomal RNA", at positions 538 to 763 of the family's 1533-position model. The record is from RNAcentral.